This 82-nucleotide transfer RNA is filed under the name Sporothrix schenckii ATCC 58251. Its description in RNAcentral is "tRNA-Leu (CAG) (tRNA-Leu-CAG-1 1 to 3)". It matches the Rfam family "tRNA". Rfam says of the family: Transfer RNA (tRNA) molecules are approximately 80 nucleotides in length. Their secondary structure includes four short double-helical elements and three loops (D, anti-codon, and T loops). The record is from RNAcentral. Lineage: Eukaryota; Fungi; Ascomycota; Sordariomycetes; Ophiostomatales; Ophiostomataceae.
GGUAAGAUGGCCGAGCGGUCUAAGGCGCUAGCUUCAGGUGCUAGUCUCGCAAGAGGCGUGGGUUCGAAUCCCACUCUUAUCA